CCUACGGGAGGCAGCAGUGAGGAAUAUUGGUCAAUGGACGCAAGUCUGAACCAGCCAUGCCGCGUGCAGGAUGACGGCUCCAUGAGUUGUAAACUGCUUUUGUACGAGGGUAAACCCCGAUACGUGUAUCGGGUUGAAAGUAUCGUACGAAUAAGGAUCGGCUAACUCCGUGCCAGGAGCCGCGGUAAUACGGAGGAUCCGAGCGUUAUCCGGAUUUAUUGGGUUUAAAGGGUGCGGAGGCGGUUUGAUAAGUUAGAGGGGAAAUGUCGGGGCUCAACCCCGAAAAUGCUUCUAAUACUGUUGGACUAGAGAGUAGAUGCGGUAGGCGGAAUGUAUGGUGUAGCGGUGAAAUGCUUAGAGAUCAUACAGAACACCGAUUGCGAAGGCAGCUUACCAAACUAUAUCUGACGUUGAGGCACGAAAGCGUGGGUAGCAAACAGGAUUAGAUACCCGGGUAGUC
This 460-nucleotide ribosomal RNA is filed under the name uncultured bacterium. RNAcentral describes it as "partial 16S ribosomal RNA". It matches the Rfam family "Bacterial small subunit ribosomal RNA", at positions 338 to 795 of the family's 1533-position model. The record is from RNAcentral.